Molecule: long non-coding RNA, 1649 nt
Organism: Solanum pennellii
Lineage: Eukaryota; Viridiplantae; Streptophyta; Magnoliopsida; Solanales; Solanaceae
Exons: 3
Source: RefSeq, a predicted model, not a curated record
AAUAAGCAAAAAGCUUAAAGAGAAAAGAGCACUAAAAAGGCAACGAAAGAAGUAACAGAGAGCCAGGUUGUCUUCCCAUCUCGAUCCGCCCCCUUGGAUGAAGUCCAAGCACCAGAUCCCCGAGAAAUCAACUUCAUAAAUCAUAUAUCCUUCAUUUUAGCUACUACGAGCUCUUCAGCAAAGUGAUUAUCAAAUAAAUCACCGAUGGACAUUGUUUGUGCCAUCUCACGAGGACCUCGGCGAACUUCAAAAAUUCUGGUAGAAUAUCAAUGGAGAUCACCACCCAAUAUGAUCUUGGGUUCCAUCUACAGUAGGCCCAUAUCGAAUUUAACUCAAAUGUUUGCUAGCCCAAAAAAGGAAGGUGUAAAUUGUUCUAGCUUUUGAAGAUAUGAUAUCUUUGAUGGAAGUAAAUAUGAUAUCUCAACAAAUCGAAUACACCAUUCAAGUCCUGGUUUGGUACCACUUUGGAGCCCUCUCUGCUCUCACCAGAUUCAGAUUAUGCUGGUUGUGUGGAUACACAAAAAUCGACAUUUGGGUAUUUGUUCCAAUUAUCUGGAGAAGCAAUCUCAUGGAAGAGUGCGAAGCAGUCAAUUAUAGUUGCAUCCACUGUUGAAGCUGAGUUUGUGGCAUGCUUUGAGGCCACAAUUCAGGCUAAUUGGCUGCGGAACUUUAUUUCAGGGCUUGGACUAGUCGACAAUAUUUCCAAGCCGCUGAAAUUUCAUUGUGAUAAUACCGCAUCAGUCGUAUUCUAAGGGUGCCAAACAUAUGGAAUUGAAAUACUUUUCAGUUAAGGAAGAAGUCUAGAAACAUAAAGUGACGAUUGAACAUAUUAGCACCAAACUUGUGAUUGCUGAUCCUUUGACGAAAGGAUUACCGCCCAAAACAUUCGUUGAACAUGUUGAAAGAAUGAGUCUUAUUAAUAGCAAUGAAUGACUUUAUGUAAAGAUUAUAUUAUGUUUAUGCAAUUAACACUUUGCUCAACUAUAUAUAUGUUUCUGUUAUUACCUGUUUUCUCUUGUAUACGUUAUGUUCAGAAUGAUGAGGAUAGGUUUUAUUUUAGAUAAAGAUAUUCUAAGCAUUAUGGUGGACCCUUUAUGUAUUGAAAUGUUGUGUUAGGCAAUAGACUAAUAUUAUAGUUCAUGAAAGUGACUAUGCUAAAUAAAGUGGUGUACAACCGCCAUGACUCAUAUUUGUUGAUUUAAUUAAUAACAACAAAUAAUGUUGAAUUUAGUAUAUGUGCACAUUGUAAUUGAAAUUGUUUAUUAAAUCAUUAAGUAAAUGAUGUUACGUGUUUCAAGUGGGAGAAUGUUAGUUUUGUGACCCACUCACAUUCAUAUUAUUUUUGUUUAAUAUUUAGUUACUAACUAAAUUCUAAUUCUAAUUGGAUAAGUGGAGAAGUGGGGAAGUGGAGAAGUUACUUCAACUACCUAUUAAGUCUUUCACUUUACCCAUUACCUCUUCCAGUUAUCCAUUAUAUCUACUACUCACCAUGAUGGAAAGGUGAGAAUGAUGUUAAAACACACUCUAUUUAACGGGUCCUCUCUCUGCCAUAAAUAUAUAAGUCUUAUCCAUCAAAUCUAUACAUCAAGUAUAUGACAAGAGAGAGAAACUUCUAAAAAACCAAAAAAAAAAAUACUCCGUUCUAUCAA